AAAGGAGAAAAAUGGUGGCUGCUAACUUCCAUUCUAGCCAAAAGCUCUCCUUUU
This 54-nucleotide transfer RNA is filed under the name Leptotrombidium scutellare. RNAcentral describes it as "tRNA-Ser". The record is from RNAcentral. Lineage: Eukaryota; Metazoa; Arthropoda; Arachnida; Trombidiformes; Trombiculidae.